RNAcentral lists this transfer RNA (74 nucleotides) under Mycobacteriales bacterium. RNAcentral describes it as "tRNA-Leu". It matches the Rfam family "tRNA". Rfam says of the family: Transfer RNA (tRNA) molecules are approximately 80 nucleotides in length. Their secondary structure includes four short double-helical elements and three loops (D, anti-codon, and T loops). Lineage: Bacteria; Bacillati; Actinomycetota; Actinomycetes; Mycobacteriales. The record is from RNAcentral.
GCCCCCGUAGUCCAACCGGCAGAGACACGGCGCUUAAACCGCUGACAGUGUGGGUUCGAACCCCACCGGGGGUA